GUGCUCACUUUGGCAGCACAUAUACUAAAAUUGGAACGAUAGAGAGAAGAUUAGCAUGGCCCCUGCACAAGGAUGACAAGCAAAUCUGUGAAGCGUUCCAUAUUUUA
RNAcentral lists this small nuclear RNA (107 nucleotides) under Balaenoptera musculus (blue whale). Lineage: Eukaryota; Metazoa; Chordata; Mammalia; Artiodactyla; Balaenopteridae. The record is from RNAcentral.